AUUGAACGCUGGCGGCAUGCUUUACACAUGCAAGUCGAACGGUAACAGGCCUUCGGGUGCUGACGAGUGGCGAACGGGUGAGUAAUGCAUCGGAACGUGCCCAGAGGUGGGGGAUAACGCAGCGAAAGCUGUGCUAAUACCGCAUGUGAUCUGAGGAUGAAAGCGGGGGACCAAGCAGCAAUGUUUGGCCUCGCGCCUCUGGAGCGGCCGAUGUCAGAUUAGGUAGUUGGUGGGGUAAAGGCCUACCAAGUCGACGAUCUGUAGCUGGUCUGAGAGGACGACCAGCCACACUGGGACUGAGACACGGCCCAGACUCCUACGGGAGGCAGCAGUGGGGAAUUUUGGACAAUGGGCGCAAGCCUGAUCCAGCAAUGCCGCGUGCGGGAAGAAGGCCUUCGGGUUGUAAACCGCUUUUGUACGGAACGAAAAGGCUCUGGCUAAUACCUGGGGCUGAUGACGGUACCGUAAGAAUAAGCACCGGCUAACUACGUG
RNAcentral lists this ribosomal RNA (492 nucleotides) under uncultured bacterium. RNAcentral describes it as "partial 16S ribosomal RNA". It matches the Rfam family "Bacterial small subunit ribosomal RNA", at positions 30 to 507 of the family's 1533-position model. The record is from RNAcentral.